GAUCAUGGCUCAGGAUGAACGCUAGCUACAGGCUUAACACAUGCAAGUCGAGGGGCAGCAUGGUCUUAGCUUGCUAAGGCCGAUGGCGACCGGCGCACGGGUGAGUAACACGUAUCCAACCUGCCGUCUACUCUUGGACAGCCUUCUGAAAGGAAGAUUAAUACAAGAUGGCAUCAUGAGUCCGCAUGUUCACAUGAUUAAAGGUAUUUUCCGGUAGACGAUGGGG
This 226-nucleotide ribosomal RNA is filed under the name uncultured bacterium. RNAcentral describes it as "partial 16S ribosomal RNA". It matches the Rfam family "Bacterial small subunit ribosomal RNA", at positions 15 to 230 of the family's 1533-position model. The record is from RNAcentral.